This is a long non-coding RNA of Homo sapiens (human), 297 nucleotides long. Lineage: Eukaryota; Metazoa; Chordata; Mammalia; Primates; Hominidae. The record is from Ensembl.
CGCAGCGCGGGUGUUAGCUGCCCCAGUCUGAGAGGCCCCGCUGCCACCACCCCCUCCACCACUGCUGUCAGGCACGGUAGCUGUAGCUCGUUCGCGAGGACCAUCUCCAUGCAAGCCAUCCUUACGGGUCGCGCCCCGGGCUGCACGGGAACCCUUGUUCCUGCGCGUGCGGGUCUUGAUGGGCGCAGCCGCGGGUGCGGGCGCGGACACAGGCGGGUGUGGCCAGAGCAGGAGUGAUUCUGCGGUCCGCCGGCUGCCGUUCAGAAGGUAAUGGUGGUGGCGGCUUCCAAGUCUCCA